CAAACCCAGUGUUCAACAGCGACACAGUGUGGUCACCACUGGCGCAGCAGCUCCAGCGAGAGGCUCAACCAUUUUAGGACCCUCCCUCCACCUGCAGUUUGAAGGUUGCUGACCUCCCCCAUGGACCCAGAAUGCCCCCAGACUUCACGGACAAUAGGGAAGGUGAGGAUCUUCAAGAUGCAAUACUGGACUUUCUACAAAUAAAGACAACUGGGAUUUGAGGAUGCUGAGGCCAAAGAGAUGUGUCAUUCCCAAGACUCCACAAUUUGCCCCAUCUCUAGUCCAACCCACUGGUCUUAUGGAUGAGAACAGAGAGGCUCAGAGAGCAAAUGGCCUUGCCCAAGGUCACAGACACAGCAAGACCAGCAACCAGGUCUUCAGACCCCACAUGCUCCUUUCCUGGCCCCAAACUGCCAGGGAACGUGGUUCUCAAAGUACAGUCAGAGGACCUGCAGCAUCAAAGUCGUCUUGGAGUCUGUUAAAAUGCAUAUUUCCAGGCCCCACUCUAGACCUGUUGAAUUCAAAUCUCUGAGGAUGAGGCCCUGGAAUCAGCAUUUUAGCCAGCACGGAGAAUGUUUUUGAGAGUUAGUUGGGUCCUUGCAUGGAUCCUGAAGGAACAUCGUGUAAUUUUUUAGUUUGUUCACUAGAGGGAGCCAGUGCCCCAGGGACACAACCAUGAAGCUUCCCUGAGAACCGCAAAACAGCAAGUUUCCCAUCUGGGACCAGGUGGCUGACAGCGAUGGCUGCUGUUUAGGAGAGAUGCUCCAGUCACUCCAGUCAAUAGAAUUCAGAAAAAGGGAGCAUCUUAAUUAGACAGGAGUCAGAAAACCUGAGUUCUAAUGCAACCCCGCCACCUGACCUUAAGCAGCCACAUCUGUCAGAUUCUCCGUGCAGCCUAGGCAGAACCCUU
Molecule: long non-coding RNA, 910 nt
Filed under: Homo sapiens (human)
Lineage: Eukaryota; Metazoa; Chordata; Mammalia; Primates; Hominidae
Description: HSALNT0234729
Source: RNAcentral